RNAcentral lists this transfer RNA (72 nucleotides) under Lepisosteus oculatus (spotted gar). It matches the Rfam family "tRNA". From Rfam's summary of the family: Transfer RNA (tRNA) molecules are approximately 80 nucleotides in length. Their secondary structure includes four short double-helical elements and three loops (D, anti-codon, and T loops). The record is from Rfam by way of RNAcentral. Lineage: Eukaryota; Metazoa; Chordata; Actinopteri; Semionotiformes; Lepisosteidae.
GGUUCCGUAAUGUAAUGUUGAGCAUUUUGGACUCUGAAUCCAGCAAUCCGAGUUCGAAUCUCGGUAGAAUCU